Molecule: long non-coding RNA, 711 nt
Filed under: Cricetulus griseus (Chinese hamster)
Lineage: Eukaryota; Metazoa; Chordata; Mammalia; Rodentia; Cricetidae
Description: lncRNA (ENSCGRG00015030949.1)
Source: RNAcentral
GAGCAAAUUAGUCUCAUUUUGGAAAAGACAGAACAUGCACAAAGGACCCCCCUGAAAGGUUUCCAGUGCUCUGUUCCCGGAUGCGUUGCAGUCAGUGUAAUUACCUGAUGUGGAAAAAGAGGCAUGGACGUGGCCCUGUGAAAGGACCAUCUCUUUUCAGCAUGGGGCAGGAGCCAAACUGUACCCUGGAACACCUACAGAUAUCAUUGGUUUGACCUGGACAAGAACUCAGAGGCGGGCACCGUGGACUAAACCACUCCAUGGGCUUGGCGUUACACAUCACCUGUCAACUUCCUUUAACUUGGCUAUAGCAAGAAAUGGAUCUUGUCAUGACAACGACGAUGAUAAUGGCUAUGAGAUCGAUGGUGAUGAUGAUGGUGAUGACAAUGACAUUUGGGGAAAACUCUUAGACUCUGGAUACAGUUUUUCAUAUUAUGAAAUUUUUAUUCACUUAAUAACUACCUUCCAUUCUCCUCAUUAUUUUUUUUCUCACAUGAGGAGGGACUGUGUGACAGUGGAGCCUUGAGAAAGAACUGCACGUGCUCAGUUCAUUAUUGUUGGCCCUGUUUUCAGCUUUGACUUCCUGCAAGUCAGAUGCCUGCUGCCUGUGAUAAACAGCCUGCUUGCUCUCUGAGAAAACUGUGAUGGUCGGUGAUGUCUGCAGAAAGAAAGACACAUUGUGUCCUGGGAUAAAUAUUAGCAAGGUUGCAG